AACUUUCAACAACGGAUCUCUUGGUUCUGGCAUCGAUGAAGAACGCAGCGAAAUGCGAUAAGUAAUGUGAAUUGCAGAAUUCAGUGAAUCAUCGAAUCUUUGAACGCACAUUGCGCCCCUUGGUAUUCCGAGGGGCAYGCCUGUUCGAGCGUCAUUU
Molecule: ribosomal RNA, 157 nt
Filed under: Mycosphaerella coacervata
Lineage: Eukaryota; Fungi; Ascomycota; Dothideomycetes; Mycosphaerellales; Mycosphaerellaceae
Description: 5.8S ribosomal RNA
Rfam family: 5.8S ribosomal RNA
About the family: 5.8S ribosomal RNA (5.8S rRNA) is a component of the large subunit of the eukaryotic ribosome. It is transcribed by RNA polymerase I as part of the 45S precursor that also contains 18S and 28S rRNA. Functionally, it is thought that 5.8S rRNA may be involved in ribosome translocation.
Source: RNAcentral